Molecule: non-coding RNA, 94 nt
Organism: Cladochytrium replicatum
Lineage: Eukaryota; Fungi; Chytridiomycota; Chytridiomycetes; Cladochytriales; Cladochytriaceae
Source: the annotation of a GenBank genome assembly
GCUCCUGUAGCUCAGUAGGUUUAGAGCGUGGUGCUUAUAGGGGUGAUCCUCCUAUGCUACGCCAAGGUCGGGUGUUCGAUCCUCCCCUGGAGCA